Molecule: ribosomal RNA, 253 nt
Filed under: uncultured bacterium
Lineage: Bacteria
Description: partial 16S ribosomal RNA
Rfam family: Bacterial small subunit ribosomal RNA
Source: RNAcentral
UACGGAGGGUGCGAGCGUUGUUCGGAAUCACUGGGCGUAAAGCGCGUGUAGGCGGCUUGGCAAGUCGAGUGUGAAAUCCCAGGGCUCAACCCUGGAACUGCACCCGAAACUGCCUCGCUGGAGUCCCGGAGAGGGUGGCGGAAUUUCCGGUGUAGAGGUGAAAUUCGUAGAUACCGGAAGGAACACCAGUGGCGAAGGUGGCCACCUGGACGGUGACUGACGCUGAGACGCGACAGCGUGGGGAGCAAACAGG